Molecule: ribosomal RNA, 669 nt
Filed under: uncultured bacterium
Lineage: Bacteria
Description: bacterial SSU rRNA
Rfam family: Bacterial small subunit ribosomal RNA
Source: RNAcentral
GUCGAGGGGCAGCGAGUAGAUUGCUUGCAAUCUACGUCGGCGACCGGCGCACUUUUGCGUAACGCGUAUGCAACCUACCCAUUACAGGGGGAUAACUCUGAGAAAUCGGUACUAAUACCCCAUAACAUCCAGGGAGGCAUCUUCUUGGGUUGAAAACUCCGGUGGUAAUGGAUGGGCAUGCGUUGUAUUAGUUAGUUGGUGGGGUAACGGCUCACCAAGACAACGAUACAUAGGGGGACUGAGAGGUUAACCCCCCACAUUGGUACUGAGACACGGACCAAACUCCUACGGGAGGCAGCAGUGAGGAAUAUUGGUCAAUGGACGCAAGUCUGAACCAGCCAUGCCGCGUGCAGGAAGACGGCUCUAUGAGUUGUAAACUGCUUUUGUACGAGGGUAAACGCAGAUACGUGUAUCUGUCUGAAAGUAUCGUACGAAUAAGGAUCGGCUAACUCCGUGCCAGCAGCCGCGGUAAUACGGAGGAUUCAAGCGUUAUCCGGAUUUAUUGGGUUUAAAGGGUGCGUAGGCGGUCGGAUAAGUUAGAGGUGAAAUCCCGAGGCUCAACUUCGGAAUUGCCUCUGAUACUGUUCGGCUAGAGAGUAGUUGCGGUAGGCGGAAUGUAUGGUGUAGCGGUGAAAUGCGUAGAGAUCGGGAGGAACACCAGUGGCGAAG